This 510-nucleotide long non-coding RNA is filed under the name Prunus persica (peach). RNAcentral describes it as "long non-coding RNA (PPER_LNC001256)". Lineage: Eukaryota; Viridiplantae; Streptophyta; Magnoliopsida; Rosales; Rosaceae. The record is from RNAcentral.
GAAAUACGUCUCGUGCUACAAUGUCUAGAAGAAUUCUUUGCACCGCUUGAAUGAGGUCAAGUAGCGUCGAUGGGAACUUCUAAACAUAUUCGAGUAUGUCAACGUGCUUAAGGUAUCCACCUUUCGUGAACUGAAUCUCUUGAUUAAGAUCAAGAAUAUCGAAUCUUAUAUUAGAGGGCAUAUUUAUAUCCCAAACAUCAUUGAUCCUUUCAUCAAAGGACAUAUACAAUAAAUAUUUGUGGUCAAGGAAUUCUGGUUGUUCCUUAGGACCAGAACAUAUUAGUUUGAGGUUUUGUUUUGUUUUAUUUUAUUUUAUUUUUGUCAUUGAUUUAUAUGCUAAUGAUUUAAUCUCUAUGUUAAGUGUAUCAUCGCUUCUAGUAAGAACUCAGUAGAAUAGAUGAUAUGAGAUACUACAUGACAUAAAUUUAUGGUUCUUCCUUGGAACCACAGUAAGUAAUUUGUUUGGCAUUUCCUUAUAGUCUAUACAGUUUUCAUGAAAACAAAAGUCUG